GGUUCGAUCAUGGCUCAGAUUGAACGCUGGCAGGAUACUUGCUUACACAUGCAAGUCGAACAGCACGGACUUCGGUCUGGUGGCGAGUGGCGAACGGGUGGCAGGUAAUGUAUCGGAACGUGCCUAGUAGCGGGGAUAACUACGCGAAAGCGUAGCUAAUACCGCAUACGCCCUUCGGGGGAGAAAGCGGGGACCUUCGGGCCUCGCACUAGAGCGGCCGAUAUCGGAUUAGCUAGUUGGUGGGGUAACGGCUCACCAGGCGACGAUCCGUAGCUGGUUUCGAGAGGACGACCAGCCACACUGGGACUACAGAGACACGGCCCAGACUCCUACGGGAGGCAGCAGUGGGGAAUUUUGGACAAUGGGGGAAACCUGAUCCAGCCAUCCCGCGUGUGCGAUGAAGGCCUUCGGGUUGUAAAGCACUUUUGGCAGGAAAAACGGCACGGGAUAAUACCCCGUGCAACUGACAGUACCUGCAGAAUAAGCACCGGCUAACUACAUGCAAAAGCAGCCGCGGUAAUACGUAGGGUGCAAGCGUUAAUCAGAAUUACUGGGCGUAAAGCGUGCGCAGGCGGUUCGGAAAGAAGAUGCUUAAAUCCAGAGCUUAACUUUGGAACUGCAUUUUUAACUACCGAGCUAGAGUGUGUCAGAGGGAGGUGGAAUUCCGCGUGUAGCAGUGAAAUGCGUAGAUAUGCGGAAGAGGAACACCGAUGGCGAAGAGCAACCUCCGGAUAACACUGACGCUCAUGCACGAAAGCGUGGGGAGCAAACAGGAUUAGAUACCCUGGUAGUCCACGCCCUAACGAUGUCAACUAGCUGUUGGGGCCUUCGGGCCUUGGUAGCGCAACUAACGCGUGAAGUUGACCGCCUGGGAAAUUACGGUCGCAAGAUUAAAACUCAAAGAAAUUGACGGGGACCCGCACAAGCGGUGGAUGAUGUGGAUUAAUUCGAUGCAACGCGAAAAGGCCUUACCUACCCUUGACAUGUCUGGAAUCCCGAAGAGAUUUGGGAGUGCUCGCAAAGGGCGAACACAGGUGCUGCAUGGCUGUCGUGAAGCUCGUGUCGUGAGAUGUUGGAUUACGAUCCGCAACGAGCGCAGCCCUUGUCAUUAGUUGCUACGAAGGGCCUCUAAUGAGACUGCCGGUGACAAACCGGAGGAAGGUGGGGAUGACGUCAAGUCCUCAUGGCCCUUAUGGGUAGGGCUUCACGUCAUACAAUGGUCGGGACAGAGGGUCGCCAACCCGCGAGGAGCCAAUCCCAGAAACCCGAUCAACAGUCAGAUGCCAGUCUGCAACUCGACUGCGUGAAGUCGGAAUCGCUAGUAAUCGCGGAUCAGCAUGUCGCGGUGAAUACGUUCCCGGGUCUUGUAUACACACCGCCCGUCACACCAUGGGAGUGGGUUUUACCGAAGUAGUUAGCUAACCGCCGAGCGAUUACACAGUAGGAUUCAUGACUGGGGGUGAAGUCGCUAAGGUAA
Molecule: ribosomal RNA, 1477 nt
Filed under: uncultured Bordetella sp.
Lineage: Bacteria; Pseudomonadati; Pseudomonadota; Betaproteobacteria; Burkholderiales; Alcaligenaceae
Description: partial 16S-23S ribosomal RNA intergenic spacer
Rfam family: Bacterial small subunit ribosomal RNA
Source: RNAcentral